GGAGAAAAGCAGGGGAUCGCAAGACCUUGCGCUAAAGGAGCGGCCGAUGUCUGAUUAGCUAGUUGGUGGGGUAAAGGCUUACCAAGGCAACGAUCAGUAGUUGGUCUGAGAGGACGGCCAACCACACUGGGACUGAGACACGGCCCAGACUCCUACGGGAGGCAGCAGUGGGGAAUUUUGGACAAUGGGCGAAAGCCUGAUCCAGCCAUGCCGCGUGAGUGAAGAAGGCCUUCGGGUUGUAAAGCUCUUUUAGUCGGAAAGAAAGAGUCACAAUGAAUAAUUGUGAUUUAUGACGGUACCGACAGAAAAAGCACCGGCUAACUACGUGCCAGCAGCCGCGGUAAUACGUAGGGUGCGAGCGUUAAUCGGAAUUACUGGGCGUAAAGGGUGCGCAGGCGGUUUUGCAAGUCAGAUGUGAAAGCCCCGGGCUUAACCUGGGAAUUGCGUUUGAAACUACAAAGCUAG
This 465-nucleotide ribosomal RNA is filed under the name Nitrosomonas sp. HKU21. RNAcentral describes it as "bacterial SSU rRNA". It matches the Rfam family "Bacterial small subunit ribosomal RNA", at positions 198 to 644 of the family's 1533-position model. The record is from RNAcentral. Lineage: Bacteria; Pseudomonadati; Pseudomonadota; Betaproteobacteria; Nitrosomonadales; Nitrosomonadaceae.